Molecule: long non-coding RNA, 1028 nt
Organism: Zalophus californianus (California sea lion)
Lineage: Eukaryota; Metazoa; Chordata; Mammalia; Carnivora; Otariidae
Exons: 4
Source: RefSeq, a predicted model, not a curated record
GUCCUGGGGAAGUCAGCCUGUGACUCACUUUGCAGUUUGGAAAGCAGGCUAUUCGGCAGGAAGUGUGGGAGCAGGAGGCUGGUUAGGAGGCCAGGGCAGCGCGUCCAAGCCAGAAACUCUGGUCGCUCGGUUUUGUGUAAUAGACCGGAGACAUCUGUUACAUAUCCACGGACAUCCAAGUGGGGAUGUCAGAUACUUGCUCAAUUACAAACGGCGGUGAUCCCUAAAAGAAACAUAUCUGAGAACCAUUGCAAGUAGUAUACUCAGACGACCGUGACUUCACUCUGAUCAUCCAUCAUAAGCUACAUUAUUACAGCUUUUCGGUGCUGACGACAACCUGAUGUUAGAAGAGGAUUUGGGGCAACAUCCAGCUGUAUAUGUAAAUAUCAAGUUAAUAAAGCAAAGCGCAAAAUCAAGACUCGAGACUCCCAAAAAUAUGGCAGGUGAGCAGAAAAUGGAUGAGGAGAAGGUAGACAAGUAGCUGGACACGGGAAAGGGCAACUGCUGCCCAGGUGGGGAAUCUGAGGGCCUCCAGCAAGGACACAAUGACCAAGGCCUGAAGCGUCCCUAUUUUAGUUGGUCAUGCUGUCUGAACUAUUACAUCAGAAAGGCUCUUGGAUAGGGGUCUCUCACAACGCGCAUCCAGCCCACCAGGCGGAUUCCUGGCACGUCAUACCCUGGUGUGGAUAAGCUUUGUCAAAUGGUGGCCAACCCAGAAAGAAAAUCUACUCUGCAGAGGGGCUUCUGAGCCGUAUCCGCACAAGCGGACUGUGACCUGACGACCCUCCCUUGGGACUUAGACCUGCGGACAGCACUAUUUCCUCUGUCUUGGGCAGCCUCCCCUGUUGUCAGCCUGGAGAAUUUCUACAUGUUGUCUUCAGCCGCUCAGCUCCAGAAUGUCCCUCUCCCAGAAGCCAAGGGGAGGAGAGUCGGUGGGGCCAGUGAGGCUGCCCCCCCUCCCCGCCCGACCCCGACCCAUCGAGGCUUGCAGUGGCAAUCACACAGAACCCCUGGCUUGGUAGAGUCAC